RNAcentral lists this unclassified non-coding RNA (2946 nucleotides) under Haliotis rufescens (red abalone). Its description in RNAcentral is "5'-nucleotidase domain-containing protein 3-like, transcript variant X1". The record is from RNAcentral. Lineage: Eukaryota; Metazoa; Mollusca; Gastropoda; Lepetellida; Haliotidae.
GAUCCCUCACUACGCCAUGGCUGGAGAACUGGUGCUAUCAUUCCUGAGCUGGAGGCUGAGAUUGAACAGCAGAACGACCCUGCAUACAAGUCAGCUGUGAGGUGGCUGGUAUCUCUACAACAACUCAUAGAAAAACAUCAGUGUCAGGACAGCCCUGAACAGAGGGAAGUGAUACAGGCAUGGCUGAAGGAGAGAGAUGAUCUCAGAAACUACACGAAAGGCGUGUUCAAUCCACGGUUUGGCAGUCUGUUUCGGACAUACCACAAUCCAACUUACUUCACUCGACGCCUGGCCCGGUUUGCUGACAUGUACAUGUCGAGUCUGACAAACCUGCUCCACUACUCAGUAGACCACUCCUUCUACCCACACCGAGUGUUGCUGCCACACGAACCAGGCCCCUUCUCCAAGUACUGAGUGGAAACAGUACACUGAAAUAAGCAUGUACUAUCAUGGAUCAGACACAUUGGUAAUUCAGUAUUAAAGUCCUCUUGGAAGUAAUGGCCAAGUAAAAGAGCACAUUGACUUUAUUAGUGAUGUGGAAGCAUUGAUGGUCUACUGCAUGAUUAUAUAGGCCUACUUAUGUCAUUGAAACAUUUCACUAGACGCACCUGUGGACAAUACUGGCAUUAAAGCAUUUAUACUUAACUAGUGCUCGGACCUAAUAUUGACAUUGAAGUAUUCGAUGGACUAUUACCUGGACCUGGUACUGACAUUGAAGUAUUGAUGGUCUUUUGCACUGGUACCUGGACCUAAUACUGACAUUGAAGCACUGAUACUCUACUCCGUUAGUACCUGGCCCUAAUCCUGACAUUGAAGCACUGAUGGUUUACUCCGUUAGUACCUGGCCCUAAAACUGACAUUGAAGCACUGAUGGUCUACUCCGUUAGUACCUGGCCCUAAUACUGACAUUGAAGCACUGAUGGUCUACUCCGUUAGUACCUGGCCCUAAUCCUGACAUUGAAGCACUGAUGGUCUACUCCGUUGGUACCUUGCCCUAAUACUGACAUUGAAGUAUUGAUGGUCUACUGCGUUAGUUCCUGGCGCUAAUACUGACAUUGAAUCAUUGAUGGUGUACUGCAUAAGUAUCACAAUAUUUCUACGAAUCCUCUGAAAUGAUGCCCUUUUUUCUCUGCAAAAGAUCCAAUACUUUUGCCAAGAUAUGUACUUCUGUGUCAAUGUAUGUAAUAUAUUUUACCUAUCCUAAUCAGUGGCGGAUCAUAAGUGUUGACCAAUUAACCCUCAGUUGUAUGAAUCUCAUUAUAACGUGACAAAUGUGACCCUGUUCAUUAUGGUAGCUUGAAGUAGAACAUUUCAGUAUUAAAAAGGACCAAUGGUUGUUGUUUAUCGUACAAUAAAGCACUGCCCCUCAUGGUUUAUUUUCCCUGCAGUGUUUUAUUGAAUGAUAAACAAUGACAAUGACUCAUUCAUUUCUUAUAUGAGAUAUCAACAAUAUGUACGGCCUGUUUAAAAAUGAUGAUAAAAUGUACAAGCUUUAAAAAUAUUUACCCGUAUUUAAAUAAUGAUGACGCCCUCAAUAGAAUGUCCAUUUUAAUAGUCAUGAUCAUCGUCGUUUUUUAAAGAAGAUGUUAGUCAUUAAAUCAAUCUGAUGUGUUAGAUAAUACAUGUGAUACUAAAACAGAUACGUUUAGAACAUUGUGUGUGGUAGCACGUGUUGAUAAUACACUGGAUGUACUCAUCAGCAAAUGAUGCAGAGUGCAUCACAGUAUUAUGAUUCACAGUCUGUCCUCGACAUCAGUUAAUUCAAGGUAUAAGUUUAGUGUAUUAUGAGUUGUUUCCUGAUAACAGAAGAUAUCCCCAUCGUUUUUUUCUGUUAAAAUGGUGAUGAGUCCAUGUGUAGGUAUUAAGACUGUUAUAUAGAUCCCUAACUUACUCAACAUUCAUGUAUAUAUGCAUUAGAAUCUUGUAUAUUGUUUUUUUUUCAAAUUUUUAUUUUAUUUUAUGAGAUCAGCAGAAAUCAAAUGCAAUAAUAGAAGUCAACACAACUUUAUCUUUGUUAGAUUACUUGGUUCAUGGAUGACAAAACAAUUCAACUGUUCUCAAAAACAUUAAUUGAAAAUCGAAAGUUUUACUACUUUACACUAUUGACCUACUUUGAUGUUUCCUUUGCUCAUCCCUGCCAUUGUUAAAAUCGGGUCAUAAGGAGUAAAUUAGCUGUACCUCGAGCGUAUCCUAACAAACAGCUACAAUGGUGAUAAGUCUCUGUGAUUUUGUGCCCGACUGGUUUGGAUCCUUGCUCAUACUUCAGUCACUGGUUUGCAUGGUCGAAACUAGAUAAUAAUAACCCACAACUGUAGGUCUGUUUACCUCAUGCUGUGGAGGUAAACACGAUUCACUUAGUCACAUUCAGUUCUGGAAGUAGUUGGCAAAUAAAUCAGUAAGGAAAACGACCUUAGAAGAUCUUGUUUGGAAAUGGUUUUCAUCAACUUGUGCUUCUCGUCAGAGGUAUCAGUGAUUGUCGUCGAGGUGACAUACAGAUGUCAUGCUCACUGACUUGGUUUAUGCAUGUCAUCAUAUCCCAAUUGCGUAGAUCAAUGCUCAUGACGUCAAUACCUCGAUUGUCGGGUCCAUACUUGAUUAUUUACAGCUGGGAUAUUGCUGAGUGCGGCAUGAAACAAACAAACUAAUAAAAACAGGUGUUAUUUUAGAUUAUCAUUUCUUUAUGUAAACCAAGCAAUUGAAAAUACCAUUUUGCUCUAACAAACUAUGAAUUGUAUUAAGUCUGUGAUAUGUUUUAGAAAAGUGUGAUUUAUGUGUGAUUGUUUGAAGACUGUCGAGCUGACUUUUAAGUUAAGGAUAAGUUAAGUUGUAGUUUAGGCUUCUUUUUUAAGCAACGUUUUUGUUGCCAUUAGUUAUUAUUUCAGCCAAAAAUUUGUUAUGCAUAUGCUGGUACUUCAUGCAUUGCAGUUUGUUUUAUUGUAGGAUGAU